This is a long non-coding RNA of Maniola jurtina (meadow brown), 128 nucleotides long. RefSeq lists it as uncharacterized. The record is from RefSeq and is a predicted model, not a curated record. Lineage: Eukaryota; Metazoa; Arthropoda; Insecta; Lepidoptera; Nymphalidae. The transcript is spliced from 3 exons.
GGUACAGUACCAGGCAGGAAAUAUUGUACAUCAACCUUUAGAAAGAGAGUUUCGUAGAGCGUUGUCUCUGUCGUUGAGACUGACAAAACGUUACAUAGGUAUGAGUAUGUAAUAUUAUAUGGACACCG